GACGAACGCUGGCGGCGUGCCUAAUACAUGCAAGUCGAACGAAGCUGUUUUAACUGGUGCUUGCACCGACUUAAACAACUGAGUGGCGAACGGGUGAGUAACACGUGGGUAACCUGCCCCAAAGCGGGGGAUAACAUUUGGAAACAGAUGCUAAUACCGCAUAACCACAGAAACCACAUGGUUUCUGUGUCAAAGAUGGUUUCGGCUAUCACUUUGGGAGGGACCCGCGGCGUAUUAGCUAGUUGGUAAGGUAAUGGCUUACAAAGGCAAUGAUACGUAGCCGAACUGAGAGGUUGAUCGGCCACAUUGGGACUUAGACACGGCCCAAACUCCUACGGGAGGCAGCAGUAGGGAAUCUUCCACAAUGGACGAAAGUCUGAUGGAGCAACGCCGCGUGAGUGAAGAAGGUUUUCGGAUCGUAAAACUCUGUUGUCAGAGAAGAACGUGUGCGAGAGUAACUGCUCGUGCAGUGACGGUAUCUGGCCAGAAAGCCACGGCUAACUACGUGCCAGCAGCCGCAGUAA
RNAcentral lists this ribosomal RNA (524 nucleotides) under uncultured bacterium. RNAcentral's name for it is "partial 16S ribosomal RNA". It matches the Rfam family "Bacterial small subunit ribosomal RNA", at positions 28 to 523 of the family's 1533-position model. The record is from RNAcentral.